UUUUUUUGUGUAUUUUU
RNAcentral lists this small RNA (17 nucleotides) under Arabidopsis thaliana (thale cress). RNAcentral describes it as "ATSL064530". The record is from RNAcentral. Lineage: Eukaryota; Viridiplantae; Streptophyta; Magnoliopsida; Brassicales; Brassicaceae.